GAAAGCUGUAAUGCAUUUUUCAUUAGCAAAUCAUCUUUCAUUUCAAGAUUAUGUCUGAAUGAGGGAUUUCAAACCCUGAAGCGGCUCUUAAGUAGCUCUCCAGAGAAUAAUCCAAACCGAUUCCAGAAUUUGGUCUACUGUGACAUGAGCUGAAGGAGGAGGAGAAGAGUCUGAUUUCCUGGGGUACCUGCCGCCAGCCUUCUCCACUAAGGGGACGGGAGCUGAAGGCACUGGAGAAGGCAGGACUGUUCGAGAAGACCCCGCCAAACUCCCUACGUUGCGAUUUGGCCGCUUUCCCUGGAGUUCUCUGGCCAUCAGAACAUGAUUUAAUUAUUUUAACUUUUGUAAAUCAUACCAUGCAUUUUUAGUUUUAAAUUGAGUCAGGAGAGGGGCCUUGAGACUUUAGGUGAAUGAGAGAUUGCUAGGGUUGUGCGUUAGAAAGUUUUAAAGGUUUUGGGUUUGCAUAAUGGAUGCUAUUUCUGAAACUGAUUGAACCACCGAUCUUUCAAGUCAUCUCUUGAUUCCAUUGGUUUCUGCGGCUUGACAAGCUCCUCUGUAACUGUUUUGGGAAUUUCAGUCUGAAAUUAUAAUUCACUAAGGGAGCUUUUCAGCCCAUCUUGCCAUUAAUUAAAAGCAAGCGGUUGAUUUUUUUUUUCUUAACACUCACUAGUUAGGGUUGCCUGCCUUUACUUUUUUUUUUUUCAAUCUUUAUUUAAGAAUGUGUAAAGCAUAUUUACAGGGAAACAAAGCAACACAUCAAUUAGGCAAUACUUUUUUGGUUGUAAAUGAUAGAAAUUGAGCUUAAAUUAUUAUAAACGAAAAAAGAUGCUUUAUUGGCUUAUGUAAUUAGGAAGUCUGUGGGGUAAGUGGCUUCAGGAAAAGCUGAAUCCAGGGGCUUGAAUGAUUUGACAAGGUCUCUGUCUCUUUCCAUUCUUUGCCGGGUUUGUCUCUACCUUGUCUCAUUCUCAGAUAGGUUAUCUCACUACAUUUUAGGCAAGAUGGUAAGCAGCAACCCGAUACAAACAUUAUAUGUUUAUUUAAUUCUUUUGGAAGUAAUAUAUAUUUUUUAAAUUGAGAGGUUUAUACUUUCCCCCAAAUUACAGAAUUGUUAAACCUCAUUAUGGAAGUCUCUAGUGUAUUGUUUUCUUCUGCAUUGUGUUGAAUUGUAAAUGCUAUUGAAAAUUCCAGAAAUAUAAAAUUUUCUAAAUUUUA
This is a long non-coding RNA of Equus quagga, 1212 nucleotides long. RefSeq lists it as uncharacterized. The record is from RefSeq and is a predicted model, not a curated record. The transcript has 2 exons. Lineage: Eukaryota; Metazoa; Chordata; Mammalia; Perissodactyla; Equidae.